RNAcentral lists this ribosomal RNA (336 nucleotides) under uncultured bacterium. Its description in RNAcentral is "bacterial SSU rRNA". It matches the Rfam family "Bacterial small subunit ribosomal RNA", at positions 8 to 334 of the family's 1533-position model. The record is from RNAcentral.
AGGGUUUGAUUAUGGCUCAGGACGAACGCUGGCGGCGUGCCUAAUACAUGCAAGUAGAACGCUGAAGAGAGGAGCUUGCUCUUCUUGGAUGAGUUGCGAACGGGUGAGUAACGCGUAGGUAACCUGCCUGGUAGCGGGGGAUAACUAUUGGAAACGAUAGCUAAUACCGCAUAAAAUUGAUUAUUGCAUGAUAAUUAAUUGAAAGAUGCAAUUGCAUCACUACCAGAUGGACCUGCGUUGUAUUAGCUAGUUGGUGAGGUAACGGCUCACCAAGGCGACGAUACAUAGCCGACCUGAGAGGGUGAUCGGCCACACUGGGACUGAGACACGGCCCAG